This is a long non-coding RNA of Manduca sexta (tobacco hornworm), 335 nucleotides long. RefSeq lists it as uncharacterized. The record is from RefSeq and is a predicted model, not a curated record. The transcript has 2 exons. NCBI's taxonomy places the organism in Eukaryota, Metazoa, Arthropoda, Insecta, Lepidoptera, Sphingidae.
AUUAAGUGUCGGAGCUUACGAGUUACCAUUCAAACAUACGUAUUUGUUGGGACGCCAAUUAACCACAACUACAAUAUGAAACUCUUCAGUUUGUUUGUUGUUUUCGCCAUGCUGGCCCUCAUGAUGGGUGGAACCUCAGCAAGUCCUAAGGGCAUCGGAAAAGUCAUUCGGAAAGGCGGAAAAGUUAUUAAACAUGGAUUAACCGCCAUUGGAAUAGCUGGCACCGGUCACGAAGUCUACCAAGAAGCCAAAAAUAGAGGUUAAUAAAUUAAGCCAUCAAGACUGUUCUAAUUUAUGUAUUGAGAAUGUUUAAUCAAUAAAAUAAUUAAAAAAAA